Macaca mulatta (Rhesus monkey) is the source of this 310-nucleotide non-coding RNA. The record is from RefSeq and is a predicted model, not a curated record. Lineage: Eukaryota; Metazoa; Chordata; Mammalia; Primates; Cercopithecidae.
ACUGAGUCCCUUUCAUUCAAUAAUGAAACCUGUAGAAGAUCGAUCAAGUUGAACUCGGUUGGAUACGAAAAGUGAGCUUCAGCGUGAUGAACUGUCCUAAGCUGUUUUGGCCAGCCACGACCAUUGGAUUUUUUGUGGUAGAUAAUAGCAGCCGCUACUAUGUAGAGGCAAGAUGAGGGUUGGUUAUUCCUCCAUAAUUCUGCUAUUGGGUUAUCAUGAAAGAUCCUUUCCUUUGCAUGAAAGGUUAAUUGAGGGUGAAUAUGAUGAUAUUAUAGAGGCAAGAUUCAAAUAAACUGGAGGGUUAGCAUCA